Molecule: long non-coding RNA, 582 nt
Filed under: Helianthus annuus (common sunflower)
Lineage: Eukaryota; Viridiplantae; Streptophyta; Magnoliopsida; Asterales; Asteraceae
Description: hypothetical non coding rna
Source: RNAcentral
UCACUAUCUUCACUGUCCUCGUCUGCUUGCUUACCUAUUGACUUAGAGCUGCAUCCAGGGGAAACCCUAGAAGAUUGGGCUUUUAGUUUACUGGAUUGGGCUUCAGGUUUACUGGGCUGGGUAACAGGGUUACUGGGCUGGGUAUCAGGUUUAAUUGGCCUAGAACUGGAGUGGGCUUCAGGUGCACUCAAUUGACGUUCUUGAACAAAUACUUCCAUAAAUGUUUCACUCCAAUUAAAAACCUACUUAACCAACUCCAACACAUCUCUAUCAUCACGAAAAUGCCUAAUUCCACCAUCAUCCGCAUCCGACCCAUACAUAUGAAAGUUCCUUGAUUUAUAGCAUUUCGUUUCCAAUGCAUAAUCUGCUAGCUCAAAAAAUGUGGUCUACAUCAACUUUAAUUAACCUAGAUUCACCCCCAACAUACUGUGGUACACCAAAACCUAACUCAAUGUAACCACCAUACCAAAGCAUAACAUCAAUCGUUUCCCCCGUUGCAUAAUCUACUAGUUCAUGUGAAAUCUUACCUUGAUCGGUGUUUAAACUUGAUGGAUUGUUGAUUUUGAGAAGCUAGGUCACGUC